UAAAUAUGGUGCACCGAUUCAAUCUAACGGUGUAAAUUCAUCUCAGUUGAGAUCACCAUUGAUUAAGGUGGAGGCAACUACUGAAAUAAACCCUAACAAGAAUCAAUUUCGGGUUAUGGUCUAUUGAGUAAAUUCAUCUCAGUUGAGAUCACCAUUGAUUAAGGUGGAGGCAACUACUGAAAUAAACCCUAACAAGAAUCAAUUUCGGGUUAUGGUCUAUUGACCCGUUGAGCCCAAGUCGGGGCCCAAUAGAACAUGGUGACACGUGUCUAUCUCUGAUAGGAACAUAGAGUCUUCGCGGUACGGUCUUUUUUAUUUCUCAUCCUUAUCCGGUUUUAGUUUUUUUUGGAAGAAAAAAUAAAUAAAUUAUUAUCUUAAAUUAAUAAACACAUUGAGAGCGUGGAGAUUUGUUGCGGAACACGUGCUCCAAAAAAUAAAGUAAAAAAGAGAUCCAUAAAGAUUUUUUUGGUAACAAGUUCAAUAAAGACGUUACUGGUUUUUUUUUUCUUUUCGUAUAAGAGACGUUGCUAAUAAUAUUAUAUAAAAAUUUAAAAAAAAUUAUGAGAAUA
RNAcentral lists this long non-coding RNA (569 nucleotides) under Lathyrus oleraceus (garden pea). RNAcentral's name for it is "Pisum sativum (pea) long non-coding RNA (PSAT_LNC005073)". Lineage: Eukaryota; Viridiplantae; Streptophyta; Magnoliopsida; Fabales; Fabaceae. The record is from RNAcentral.